Long non-coding RNA from Ruditapes philippinarum (Manila clam), 871 nucleotides. RefSeq lists it as uncharacterized. The transcript has 3 exons. NCBI's taxonomy places the organism in Eukaryota, Metazoa, Mollusca, Bivalvia, Venerida, Veneridae. The record is from RefSeq and is a predicted model, not a curated record.
UAAAAAUACUUCGGUGCUAUAUUGGCUCCAUGUCUGUUACCGAUUUAGUGUAUAAGUGAUUUGCACAACGUGGUAUUUUUCUAGCCCACCUGCCAUCAGAAGAAGUUUGCGCCAAAACUAAAAAAAGUGGAUUUUUUCUCAAAUACUACUGGUUAAUCAUCUGUCUGUGACAUGACAAACAUACCUGAAUCAGAAUGCUGACAACUGAAAUAGCUGGUUUUGGAGAAAGAAAAUGUCAUUUUAGAAGCUAAAGAUGACCAAUUGAUGCAAUACAGAAUCCUAGGCAACACUUAGAAUGAAAUGUAGGGAUGAAAAAGAGGGCAACAGUCACCGAGCUGAAAUUCAAUAGCAGGAAAUAGCUGCUCAUCUGGCAAAUGAUCAAUGGUGGAAAUAAAGAACUGUAGAAAACUAAACAAUUGAAUUAGUUCAUAUAUAUCGAGACUCCUGGAGGAACCACAAUUGACACCUGCCAUUUUUAACUCAUGUACAAAUUACAAAAUGCUGUUUAACUAUUCAACAUGAUAAUGUGAAAAAAGUCAGCUAUUCUUUUAAAGUUUAACUCAAACUCGUAAUAUCUGGAGUAUAAAUCAAUUGCAAAAACUAAAAUACAGUUACUAAAUAUAUCAGAGCUAACAGCUUGACACUUUCUAGACAGAUUUUAAGUCUACAGGAUGUAAAAAAGCAAAGGAACAAGUAAGAAACAUGCCAUUGAGCUUAUUUUAUCUAAACAAAAAGUAGUAUGAAUAUAGCAAGGUUGUAUUUGCCAGUCACAUGACUUAAGUAUAUUUGUUAAAACAAUUUAAUUUUGACUGAUCUUUAUAGGAAACAUGUUAAGAUUAAUGUUUAAAUUUUUAUGUGUGUUAGCAAGGAA